CCUACGUGAGGCUGCAGUGAGGAAUAUUGGUCAAUGGGCGCGAGCCUGAACCAGCCAAGUCGCGUGAGGGAUGAAGGUUCUAUGGAUCGUAAACCUCUUUUAUAAGGGAAUAAAGUGUGGGACGUGUACGAUUUUGUAUGUACCUUAUGAAUAAGGAUCGGCUAACUCCGUGCCAGCAGCCGCGGUAAUACGGAGGAUCCGAGCGUUAUCCGGAUGUGUUGGGUUUAAAGGGUGCGUAGGCGGCCUUUUAAGUCAGCGGGGAAAGUCUGUGGCUCAACCAUAGAAUUGCCGUUGAAACUUGGGGGCUUGAGUAUGUUUGAGGCAGGCGGAAUGCGUGGUGUAGCGGUGAAAUGCUUAGAUAUCACGCAGAACCCCGAUUGCGAAGGCAGCCUGCCAAGCCAUGACUGACGCUGAUGCACGAAAGCGUGGGGAUCAAACAGGAUUAGAUACCCUGGUAGUC
RNAcentral lists this ribosomal RNA (460 nucleotides) under uncultured bacterium. Its description in RNAcentral is "partial 16S ribosomal RNA". It matches the Rfam family "Bacterial small subunit ribosomal RNA", at positions 338 to 795 of the family's 1533-position model. The record is from RNAcentral.